Molecule: non-coding RNA, 45 nt
Filed under: Schistosoma bovis
Lineage: Eukaryota; Metazoa; Platyhelminthes; Trematoda; Strigeidida; Schistosomatidae
Also listed under: 1 other name
Source: RNAcentral
ACCCAGCUGACGAGUCCCGAAUAAGACGAAACGCGCGUCCUGGAU